This 372-nucleotide ribosomal RNA is filed under the name uncultured organism. RNAcentral's name for it is "bacterial SSU rRNA". It matches the Rfam family "Bacterial small subunit ribosomal RNA", at positions 526 to 896 of the family's 1533-position model. The record is from RNAcentral.
CAGAGGGGGCAAGCGUUGUUCGGAAUUACUGGGCGUAAAGGGCGCGUAGGCGGCCUGCUAAGUCGAACGUGAAAUCCCAGGGCUCAACCCAGGAACUGCGUCCGAUACUGGUUGGCUUGAAUCCGGGAGAGGGAUGUGGAAUUCCAGGUGUAGCGGUGAAAUGCGUAGAUAUCUGGAGGAACACCGGUGGCGAAGGCGGCAUCCUGGACCGGUAUUGACGCUGAUGCGCGAAAGCCAGGGGAGCAAACGGGAUUAGAUACCCCGGUAGUCCUGGCCCUAAACGAUGAAUGCUUGGUGUGGCGGGUAUCGAUCCCUGCCGUGCCGAAGCUAACGCAUUAAGCAUUCCGCCUGGGGAGUACGGUCGCAAGGCUG